UACGAAGGGGGCUAGCGUUACUCGGAAUCACUGGGCGUAAAGCGCACGUAGGCGGCUUGUUAAGUCAGGGGUGAAAUGCCAAGGCUCAACCUUGGAACUGCCUUUGAUACUGGCAAUCUCGAGUCCGGGAGAGGUGAGUGGAACUGCGAGUGUAGAGGUGAAAUUCGUAGAUAUUCGCAAGAACACCAGUGGCGAAGGCGGCUCACUGGCCCGGUACUGACGCUGAGGUGCGAAAGCGUGGGGAGCAAACAGG
Molecule: ribosomal RNA, 253 nt
Filed under: uncultured bacterium
Lineage: Bacteria
Description: partial 16S ribosomal RNA
Rfam family: Bacterial small subunit ribosomal RNA
Source: RNAcentral